Non-coding RNA from Oryctolagus cuniculus (rabbit), 2589 nucleotides. The record is from RefSeq and is a predicted model, not a curated record. Lineage: Eukaryota; Metazoa; Chordata; Mammalia; Lagomorpha; Leporidae.
AGUUCUGAGCUUUAUAGUCAACUGGUCAGGACCAGCCUGGCCUCAGCAGGCGAACCCUUGAGCUCCAAGGACAUCCAAAUGUGAUACCAUCACAGGAUUACUAACCAACAUCCUCUGGUGCAUUACCCAGUAACCUACAUCAAACCAGCAAAUUCACAUCUAUUCAAUGCCACCAGGAUUCACAGAUACAGAGAAAUAGAGAAAAGAAGAAUUCAUGGAGGCAACAUGGUAAAAAGGAGACCUCUCUUUCAAAACUCAGGAAGAUGCCUUAAUUCAGUAUGUGUUGGCGAAAAGGAGGAGAUCAUAAAGAGAAGGAGCCGUUGGAGAUGUCAGAGAGGAAGUGUGUUGAUGGAGAAAGGCUGCUGAGGAGGCAGGCUUGAGACCCAAAUAGAGAAAGAUGUCUCUGAGGCAGAGAAACAAGAAGAGAGUGUGUGAGGCAGCAGUUGUGUCCCAGAGUGCAGAGACAAAAAUGGAGUCUCUACCAACUAUACUGGGCCAAUGUCAACCUCCGACAGUGAGAGAAGGAUACCUUCAGAAACCAAAGAGGAUGAGAAGCUCCACAUUCAUCAAGAACUUCCUAUGCGUCCAGCCAGUAACCUGGCAUGGGAGUUAAAGAGAUAGAAAAGAUGUGGUUCAUCCACAACUGUCCUGCAAGGAGUUGGAAAGGCAACCAGCAUACCAAAUAUCAGAACACAAAUACUCACAGGAUGCUCUGGAACCUUGAAGGCGAAGAACUACACCAGCUAAGGCAGGUAGAAGCAAAUGGAGGCGAGAGACAGGAAAACUGGACAAGUUGGAUAUGGGCAGGGAUGAUUUCUGAGCUGAGUUCUGAAUGAUAAGCAAUGCAUACUAAUGUGUGGGAGAAAGCUCAGACAUUCUCUGGAGGUACAAGAGAACAGGGAAGGACGCAGAGGUAAGGACACUCAGGAUGAAGCUGCGGGGGUCCUGCAGGUGUCGAUUAUUGCAGGGGUGGACAGUGCAAAGCAGAUUUGUGGCCCUGUCCAGAAGAUGCGCAAGUAUCGGAUAAGUCUGAACAUUUUCCUGUAGAUAAAUUAUAAACACUGAGAGGCUGUAAUGGGGUAGGGGAAGAAGUGGAGCGGAGGCAUGGCCUGGUCAGAUUGGCCUUUGCCAUAGUGUAUUCUAGCGGCACAGAAUGAAUGGAAUAUGGCAAAAAGUUAAUUAUGUAAGCAGACACUAAAAAAAUGAUUAGACAACAUGGAUAGAAACUCUUGACUGAUGUGAGAGGUGAAGAGAAGCUAUAAAAAUUGCUCCCAGGUUUUGUGGAGGGAGUUAUAAUUAACUAAGAUAGUGAGUACACUAGAAAAGGUUACUGGUGAAAAUUAUGAGAAAUAUUGGGCACUUAACUUGGACACUUUCAAAUUUAUAAUUUACUUCUGACAGAAUUUUGUUUAAGAUUUAUUUAUGUGAAAGGCAGAGUUACAGAGAGGCAGAGGCAGAGAGACAGAGGUCUUCCAUCUGAUGGUUCACUCUCCUAAUGUUGCAAUGGCUGGAGGGAGCUGGGUCAAUCUAAUACCAGGAGCCAAGAGCUUCUUCUGGGUCUCCCAUGUGGGUGCAGGGACAGAAGCACCUGGGUCAUCUUUUACUGCUUUCCCAGGUCAAAGCGAAGAGCUGGAUUGGAAAUGGAGCAGCCAGGACUAGAACCAGUGCUCAUAUGGGAUGCUGGCAUGGCUGGCGGUGUUUUACCUGCUACACCACAGUGCUGGCCACUAUUUGAACAGAAUUUAUAGUACUGACAUGAAAUCUGAUUGGAGAGGUCUACCAAGAGGUCAAUAUAUGUCUGAAACAGGAACAUCAACUAGCAGUCUCAACUGUAAUGGACUCAGCUAAAUGCUUUAUUGCUAGGAAAGCCACGAAGAGUGAGAGAACAGAAUGCAACAUUUGGAGAUUAGAGUAUCUGUGGUGGAAGAAGAAACAGAUGACAGUUGGACAUUGGCAGGGGCUUAGCACUGGGGCCAAGCCAGACAGGGGGUUAGUAGCAAGAAUGGGCUAGUACAGGAGGUGAAAGAGAACUAAGUUAGGGUGAAGUCUGGUCCUUCUUGAGUGAGAGGAAGGGCUCUGAGGGAACAAGGUUGAGGCUGGGUCUUUGGGGAUGGAGAAUUCCAAGCUUGGACUUGUGGGUGAGGCCUGGUUACUGAAUGAAUAGAAAGUCCAAGAAGAAACAGGCAGUAGGGGUGUCAGAGGUGAUGGUGAAUUCUGAAGAUGCAAGAGAGAUGGGAGGAGAAGAAAGAAAGGAAAGGUGAUUCCAGCACAUCAAUCAGUAAAGAGGGCAUUGUUAGAAAGAAAAAACAGAGUGAUCUGUGGGCAGACAGCAGAACCCUUUACUUCCAUGUGGGUUUCCUCUGAGGAGAGUUUUGGGAGACACAAUGUUAUCUUCAAUGCUGCCCAAGUUGAAUAUUUAAUCCUCAUUUACCUGCCUUCUCUUCCCAUAUCCACCAUCUCCACCUCACCUGUCAUAAUUUCCCAAUCUACCUAUUUUAACAGAUAAUUUCAAUAUAUUUUCUGGUCAUUCAGCUUUCAUUUUUAAAGAAGUAUAAAGCACCCUUAACAAUGUACUCAUAAUAUGUACAC